This 201-nucleotide ribosomal RNA is filed under the name uncultured eukaryote. RNAcentral's name for it is "partial 18S ribosomal RNA". It matches the Rfam family "Eukaryotic small subunit ribosomal RNA", at positions 1299 to 1458 of the family's 1831-position model. The record is from RNAcentral.
GCGUGGAUUGAUCUGUCUGGUUAAUUCCGAUAACGCACGAGACCUCGGCCCAUAGUCUAGAGUCUUGGUUUCCUCCGAAACUGAGAGCAGCGUAGGCUGCGUCCUGCCUCCGGCAGCGGCGUGAUCGACGUUGCGAAAUCAAAACCUAUGGGAAUUGCGCGCGUCGAAACUCUUAGCGCGAUGAAAGGCGAGGCUAUAACA